RNAcentral lists this unclassified non-coding RNA (141 nucleotides) under uncultured Teratosphaeriaceae. RNAcentral's name for it is "sequence contains ITS1". Lineage: Eukaryota; Fungi; Ascomycota; Dothideomycetes; Mycosphaerellales; Teratosphaeriaceae. The record is from RNAcentral.
CCGAGUGAGGGCCUCUGGCCCGACCUCCAACCCUUUGUGGACCACACUUGUUGCCUCGGGGGCGACCCGGCCUCCGCGCCGGGGUCCCCCGUGGACCGUCAACUCUGUAUCUGUACGUCGGAGUACUUGAUGAAUCAAUCA